This 253-nucleotide ribosomal RNA is filed under the name uncultured bacterium. RNAcentral's name for it is "partial 16S ribosomal RNA". It matches the Rfam family "Bacterial small subunit ribosomal RNA", at positions 524 to 776 of the family's 1533-position model. The record is from RNAcentral.
UACGGAGGGUGCAAGCGUUAUCCGGAUUCACUGGGUUUAAAGGGUGCGUAGGUGGGUUGAUAAGUCAGUGGUGAAAUCCCCGAGCUUAACUUGGGAACUGCCAUUGAUACUAUUGAUCUUGAAUACCGUGGAGGUCAGCGGAAUAUGUCAUGUAGCGGUGAAAUGCUUAGAUAUGACAUAGAACACCAAUUGCGAAGGCAGCUGGCUACGCGAACAUUGACACUGAUGCACGAAAGCGUGGGGAUCAAACAGG